GACGAACGCUGGCGGCGUGCUUAACACAUGCAAGUCGAACGGAAAGGCGCUGCUUUUGUGGGGUGCUCGAGUGGCGAAGGGGUGAGUAACACGUGAGUAUCCUGCCCUUGACUUUGGGAUAACUUCAGGAAACUGGGGCUAAUACCGGAUAGGAGCUCCUGCUGCAUGGUGGGGGUUGGAAAGUUGCGGCGGUUGGGGAUGGUCUCGCGGCUUAUCAGCUUGUUGGUGGGGUAGUGGAUUACCAAGGCUUUGACGGGUAGCCGGCAUUGGAGGGUGACCGGCGACAUUGGGACUAAGGUACGGACCAGUAGGCUACGUGCGGCAGCGGGGGGAAACAUGGCGCAACGGGCGGACGCCUGAUGCAGCAGCGCCGCGUGCGUGAUGACGUCCUUCGGGGUAUAAACAGCUGUCGCAGUUGACGAAGCGUGAGUGACGGUAAUGAGUAAAGAAGCACCGGCUAACUACGUG
Molecule: ribosomal RNA, 468 nt
Filed under: uncultured bacterium
Lineage: Bacteria
Description: partial 16S ribosomal RNA
Rfam family: Bacterial small subunit ribosomal RNA
Source: RNAcentral